AGAAUCAACGCUGGCGGCGUGCCUAACACAUGCAAGUCGAACGAGAAAGUGGGAGCAAUCCCAUGAGUAAAGUGGCGCACGGGUGAGUAACACGUGACUAACCUACCCUUGAGUGGGGGAUAACCUAGGGAAACCUGGGCUAAUACCGCAUAAUACCUACGGGUCAAAGGAGCAAUUCGCUUUAGGAGGGGGUCGCGGCAGAUUAGUUAGUUGGCGGGGUAAUGGCCCACCAAGACAGUGAUCUGUAUCCGGCCUGAGAGGGCGCACGGACACACUGGAACUGAAACACGGUCCAGACUCCUACGGGAGGCAGCAGUGGGGAAUUUUGCGCAAUGGGGGAAACCCUGACGCAGCAACGCCGCGUGGAGGAUGAAGCCCCUUGGGGCGUAAACUCCUUUCGAUCGGGAAGAUAAUGACGGUACCGGAAGAAGAAGCCCCGGCUAACUUCGUGCCAGCAGCCGC
Molecule: ribosomal RNA, 462 nt
Filed under: uncultured bacterium
Lineage: Bacteria
Description: SSU rRNA
Rfam family: Bacterial small subunit ribosomal RNA
Source: RNAcentral